This 425-nucleotide ribosomal RNA is filed under the name uncultured bacterium. RNAcentral describes it as "bacterial SSU rRNA". It matches the Rfam family "Bacterial small subunit ribosomal RNA", at positions 355 to 776 of the family's 1533-position model. The record is from RNAcentral.
UAAGGAAUAUUGGACAAUGGUCGGAAGACUGAUCCAGCCAUGCCGCGUGAAGGACGAAGGCGCUCAGCGUUGUAAACUUCUUUUGGAUGGGGAUAAUAACCUCGAUUAAUCGGGGCUUGAAGGUACCAUCAGAAUAAGCACCGGCUAACUCCGUGCCAGCAGCCGCGGUAAUACGGAGGGUGCGAGCGUUAUCCGGAAUCACUGGGUUUAAAGGGUGCGUAGGCGGCGAGGUAAGUCAGUUGUGAAAUUCCCCGGCUUAACCGGGUGGACUGCGAUUGAUACUGCUUUGCUUGAAACAGGUUGAGGUAAGCGGAAUGUGACAUGUAGCGGUGAAAUGCAUAGAUAUGUCAUAGAACACCGAUUGCGAAGGCAGCUUGCUGGGCCUGAUUUGACGCUGAGGCACGAAAGCGUGGGGAGCAAACAGG